AGGACGAACGCUAGCGACGUGCCUAAGAAAUGCAAGUCGAACGGGGUUGCCUUCGGGCAGCCUAGUGGCGAACGGUCGCGUAACACGUGGGCAACCUGCCCUGAAGCGGGGGACAACAAGCCGAAAGGUUUGCUAAUACCGCAUGUGAAUUGCUCCGGCAUCGGAGAGGAUUCAAAGCCGCAAGGCACUUCAGGAUGGGCCCGCGGCCUAUCAGCUUGUUGGUGGGGUAAUGGCCUACCAAGGCGACGACGGGUAGCUGGUCUGAGAGGACGAUCAGCCGGAUUGGGACUGAGAUACGGCCCAGACUCCUACGGGGGCAGCAAUUAGGAAUCUUGCGCAAUGGGCGAAAGCCUGACGCAGCGACGUCGCGUGAAGGAUGAAAUCUUUCGGGAUGUAAACUUCUUUAUCGGGAAGAAACAAUGACGGUACCGAUGAAUAAGCCCCGGCUAACUACGCGCCAGCAGCCGC
Molecule: ribosomal RNA, 468 nt
Filed under: uncultured bacterium
Lineage: Bacteria
Description: SSU rRNA
Rfam family: Bacterial small subunit ribosomal RNA
Source: RNAcentral